AACGUAGGAAGGUUUUCGUAUCCUUACGGCUCACGGAUGAACGCGUAGCGGCAGGCUUAACACAUGCAAGUCGAGGGGCAUCGGAGGGAAGCUUGCUUCCUUGCCGGCGACCGGCGCACGGGUGAGUACACGUAUGCAACCUGCCUCUUCAGGGGGACAACCUUCCGAAAGGGAGGCUAAUCCCGCGUAUAUCGGUUUCGGGCAUCCGAGAUCGAGGAAAGAUUCAUCGGAAGAGGAUGGGCAUGCGGCGCAUUAGCUUGACGGCGGGGUAACGGCCCACCGUGGCGACGAUGCGUAGGGGUUCUGAGAGGAAGGUCCCCCACACUGGUACUGAGGCACGGACCAGACUCCUACGGGAGGCAGCAGUGAGGAAUAUUGGUCAAUGGGAGAGAUCCUGAACCAGCCAAGCCGCGUGAGGGAAGACGGCCCUAUGGGUUGUAAACCUCUUUUGUCGGAGAACAAAACCCGGGACGUGUCCCGGACCGCGUGUAUCCGAAGAAAAAAGCAUCGGCUAACUCCGUG
This 522-nucleotide ribosomal RNA is filed under the name uncultured Bacteroidales bacterium. Its description in RNAcentral is "bacterial SSU rRNA". It matches the Rfam family "Bacterial small subunit ribosomal RNA", at positions 1 to 507 of the family's 1533-position model. The record is from RNAcentral. Lineage: Bacteria; Pseudomonadati; Bacteroidota; Bacteroidia; Bacteroidales.